UAGUUUCCAUGGGAAGAAAUACAGACAUGACGACCAGAAAGAAGCCACAUCAUAUUUCUGAGUAUGGUACUCAACACACAUUAGGACCAGCCAAUAGAUCAUACCUGUGGAGCUGUGAAGAGGAAUACAUCUACCUUAGGAAGUUAUAUCCAAAACUACAGUUGGAAUAUCUCUUUUCAGUAAUGGAAAAACUGGGAUAAAAUACUUUCGGAAGAGCAUGCACUGCUACAGACUAUGCACAUGGUAGAGGAAUUACCCAUUUGAGUAGAGCUGCGAACAACAUGAAUUUUAGCCUUGCUGAUGUCCUGUUCUCAAUCAAGGAGUGAAUGCAAUUGGCUCUGAGCAU
Pipra filicauda (Wire-tailed manakin) is the source of this 346-nucleotide long non-coding RNA. RefSeq lists it as uncharacterized. The record is from RefSeq and is a predicted model, not a curated record. The transcript has 3 exons. NCBI's taxonomy places the organism in Eukaryota, Metazoa, Chordata, Aves, Passeriformes, Pipridae.